RNAcentral lists this non-coding RNA (26 nucleotides) under Homo sapiens (human). Lineage: Eukaryota; Metazoa; Chordata; Mammalia; Primates; Hominidae. The record is from RNAcentral.
UGACAGAAGGCUUGAAUUGGUGGAGA